This is a long non-coding RNA of Salvelinus fontinalis (brook trout), 1085 nucleotides long. RefSeq lists it as uncharacterized. The transcript is spliced from 6 exons. The record is from RefSeq and is a predicted model, not a curated record. NCBI's taxonomy places the organism in Eukaryota, Metazoa, Chordata, Actinopteri, Salmoniformes, Salmonidae.
GAGCCAUAUUUAGGUAGCCUGUUUUGUCUUUGUGGGUUGUGGGUGAUUGUUCCUGUGUUUGUUACGGGACUGGUUCGGCGUAGUUCGUUUGUUGGGUUAUUAUUUUUGUUCUUUAUUCAGCAAAAGAACGUGAGCUGGCGUAGCAGAAAAUUGCUGACCAAGUCAAUGCGUGCAACCCAACAGGCACAAAACAAACUUGGCAGCAACUGAAGAUGAAAUAUAAAAAUAUACUUCAAACCGCCAAUAUUUAAAAAAAGUCUGAGGGCUGAAAAACGGGUAGGGGUUCACCACCACUCAGAGGCUGAAGAGAUGGCCCUCAGUCAAAAUAGUGGGUGACCUAUUGCUGAAGGCAUCUCUGGAGGAAGCUCAUCUGACCCAACCACCCCCCUAAGACACAAUGGCCUACAUAAGAGUUACUGGUGGUGUAUUCUGUCUGUGGGAGACGGACCUCCAUGCAGUUGAGGAUAAUGAAGACCCUGUGUCAGCUGCCACAGAGAGAGAAGAUACAGAGGCCUAUUGAGGUUUACACUGUAAAAAUAACAUCUAACAGUUGAUAGUGUUGUAUCAUAAUAAAACAUUUUUUUUCUCUAGUAGCGCAAUGCUGGAAAUUACAAUGAGGAAGAGGGUCCAUCCCCCUCUACAGCACAAUUUACCUCAGUAAGAUGUUGUUCAGCAUUGGCCCAUGACUUACAAUGAAACUAAGUAGACCUGGCACUGUGAAAUGUAAUGUAUUUUUUGUGUUCCUAUAGCUCCCUGUGAAACAGCUGUACAAGGUGUACUUACAGAAACAUUUUAUUUUAUUUAGAAAUGUACCACAAGGCUGCAGAUGCUAAAUAUAGAAAUACAACAGCUGGAACAUCAGUUAAAGGUGGGUGAGGUGCCCACAGGUGGAUGAGUUUACUUGUCUGAACAACACAAAAUACAAACUACUGUACUGCAUUUGUACUUGCAGGAAAUAAGGAAGACUUCAUAAAAAGAAAGGCAUAUAGUCUUUAUUUGACACUGGGGAGGUGAUGGGUCAAUCAGAAAUGAUGGUAGCAUAUUGUGUCUCUGACUGCUCUUCCAUUUCGUGCGUCAGCUGGGUG